RNAcentral lists this ribosomal RNA (652 nucleotides) under Staphylococcus haemolyticus. RNAcentral's name for it is "bacterial SSU rRNA". It matches the Rfam family "Bacterial small subunit ribosomal RNA", at positions 1 to 635 of the family's 1533-position model. RNAcentral also lists the same sequence under 3 other names. Lineage: Bacteria; Bacillati; Bacillota; Bacilli; Caryophanales; Staphylococcaceae. The record is from RNAcentral.
UUUAUGGAGAGUUUGAUCCUGGCUCAGGAUGAACGCUGGCGGCGUGCCUAAUACAUGCAAGUCGAGCGAACAGACAAGGAGCUUGCUCCUUUGACGUUAGCGGCGGACGGGUGAGUAACACGUGGGUAACCUACCUAUAAGACUGGGAUAACUUCGGGAAACCGGAGCUAAUACCGGAUAAUAUUUCGAACCGCAUGGUUCGAUAGUGAAAGAUGGUUUUGCUAUCACUUAUAGAUGGACCCGCGCCGUAUUAGCUAGUUGGUAAGGUAACGGCUUACCAAGGCGACGAUACGUAGCCGACCUGAGAGGGUGAUCGGCCACACUGGAACUGAGACACGGUCCAGACUCCUACGGGAGGCAGCAGUAGGGAAUCUUCCGCAAUGGGCGAAAGCCUGACGGAGCAACGCCGCGUGAGUGAUGAAGGUCUUCGGAUCGUAAAACUCUGUUAUUAGGGAAGAACAUACGUGUAAGUAACUAUGCACGUCUUGACGGUACCUAAUCAGAAAGCCACGGCUAACUACGUGCCAGCAGCCGCGGUAAUACGUAGGUGGCAAGCGUUAUCCGGAAUUAUUGGGCGUAAAGCGCGCGUAGGCGGUUUUUUAAGUCUGAUGUGAAAGCCCACGGCUCAACCGUGGAGGGUCAUUGGAAACUG